Molecule: transfer RNA, 73 nt
Filed under: Mycoplasma sp. CAG:956
Lineage: Bacteria; Bacillati; Mycoplasmatota; Mollicutes; Mycoplasmatales; Mycoplasmataceae
Rfam family: tRNA
About the family: Transfer RNA (tRNA) molecules are approximately 80 nucleotides in length. Their secondary structure includes four short double-helical elements and three loops (D, anti-codon, and T loops).
Source: Rfam by way of RNAcentral
UGCCUAGUAGCCAAGUGGUAAGGCAUCAGAUUCUGACUCUGACAUUUCGUGGGUUCGAGUCCUACCUAGGCAG